ACAAUGGAGAGUUUGAUCCUGGCUCAGGAUGAACGCUAGCUACAGGCUUAACACAUGCAAGUCGAGGGGAAACGGCAUUGAGUGCUUGCACUCUUUGGACGUCGACCGGCGCACGGGUGAGUAACGCGUAUCCAACCUUCCCAUUACUGUGGGAUAACCUGCCGAAAGGCAGACUAAUACCGCAUAG
Molecule: ribosomal RNA, 187 nt
Filed under: Prevotella melaninogenica
Lineage: Bacteria; Pseudomonadati; Bacteroidota; Bacteroidia; Bacteroidales; Prevotellaceae
Description: partial 16S ribosomal RNA
Rfam family: Bacterial small subunit ribosomal RNA
Source: RNAcentral